Molecule: ribosomal RNA, 234 nt
Filed under: uncultured Candidatus Saccharibacteria bacterium
Lineage: Bacteria; Candidatus Saccharimonadota
Description: partial 16S ribosomal RNA
Rfam family: Bacterial small subunit ribosomal RNA
Source: RNAcentral
UAAGCAAGAUAUGAAAUCGUACGGCUCAACCGUAUAUCCGUAUUUGAACUGAUUAACUAGAGGGCGAGAGAGGUUAUUGGAAUUUCUUGUGUAGGAGUGAAAUCCGUAGAUAUAAGAAGGAACACCGAUGGCGUAGGCAGAUAACUGGCUCGCACCUGACACUGAGGCACGAAAGCGUGGGGAGCAAACGGGAUUAGAUACCCCGGUAGUCCACGCCGUAAACUAUGGAUGCUA